Molecule: ribosomal RNA, 441 nt
Filed under: uncultured bacterium
Lineage: Bacteria
Description: partial 16S ribosomal RNA
Rfam family: Bacterial small subunit ribosomal RNA
Source: RNAcentral
CCUACGGGCGGCUGCAGUGGGGAAUAUUGCACAAUGGGGGAAACCCUGAUGCAGCAACGCCGCGUGAGUGAGGAAGUAUUUCGGUAUGUAAAGCUCUAUCAGCAGGGAAUAGAAAAGAAGGUACCUGAAAAAGAAGCCCCGGCCAACUACGGGCCAGCAGCAGCGGGAAAACGGGGGGGGCAACGGUUAUCCGGAUUUACUGGGUGUAAAGGGAGGGUAGACGGAAAGGCAAGUCAGAAGUGAAAACCCAAGGCUCAACCAUGGGACUGCUGUUGAAACUGUCAAACGAGAGUACGGGAGAGGUAAGAGGAAUUCGUGGUGUAGCGGUGAAAUGCGUAGAUAUUAGGAGGAACACCAGUGGCGAAGGCGUCUUACUGGACCGAAACUGACGUUGAGGCUCGAAAGCGUGGGGAGCAAACAGGAUUAGAUACCCCAGUAGUC